ACCGUAAAAGUGAAGAAACUUAAUUUUAAANUUUGGAAAUCNNUUUAGANNNUGAAAAAACAAACUCCUUUGNAAGGGUAAAAUUUUAAAAGGGNUAGGCUUUUCUUUUUNUUGAAAUUUUGAAAACUUNAGAAGUGAAACUAGGAUUAGAUACCCUAUUAUUAUUAAAUAAAAAGAAAUNUAGGUAGUAGUAGAAGUCUUGAAACUUAAAGAAUUUGGCGGUGUUCUAAUCUUACCAGAGGAACUUGCAUUUUAACUCGAAAUUACACGUUUUAUCUUACUUAAAUUAGAGUUUGUAUAUCGUCGUAAAAAUAAAACUUUAAAGUGUAUAUUUAAACUUAUUAAANUUAAAAAUUACAGAUCAAGGUUCAGCANAUAUUUAAGNAGAAUGUGAGUUACAAUUUNNNUCUAGAUAGAUGGAGACUUUCUNNNGAAAUGNAAAAUUUGAAGGUGGAUUUGAAAGU
Molecule: ribosomal RNA, 464 nt
Filed under: Buthus sp. A DP-2013
Lineage: Eukaryota; Metazoa; Arthropoda; Arachnida; Scorpiones; Buthidae
Description: partial 12S ribosomal RNA
Source: RNAcentral